This 330-nucleotide RNase P RNA is filed under the name Clostridia bacterium. Its description in RNAcentral is "RNase P RNA component class A". It matches the Rfam family "Bacterial RNase P class A". From Rfam's summary of the family: Ribonuclease P (RNase P) is a ubiquitous endoribonuclease, found in archaea, bacteria and eukarya as well as chloroplasts and mitochondria. Its best characterised activity is the generation of mature 5'-ends of tRNAs by cleaving the 5'-leader elements of precursor-tRNAs. Cellular RNase Ps are ribonucleoproteins. The record is from RNAcentral. Lineage: Bacteria; Bacillati; Bacillota; Clostridia.
GGAGUUGACCUGACGGCUGCGCAUUUUUUUAAAUGUGAGGAAAGUCCGGGCUUCACAGGGCAGAAUAGCGGCUAACGGCCGCCGAGGGUGACCUUAGGACAAGUGCAACAGAAAUAUACCGCCGUUUUACGGUAAGGGUGGAAAGGUGGGGUAAGAGCCCACCGGUCAGGCGGGAGACCGUUUGACCCUGUAAACUCUAUUCGAAGCAACAUCAACCGGAGCAAUGCAUCGGCCCGAUGGGCUCCAAAAGAUGGCUGGAGCGUCGGAGCAAUCCGCCGCCAAGAUAGAUAGCCGUUCACGACAGAACCCGGCUUACGGUCAACUCCCAUU